This is a long non-coding RNA of Musa acuminata AAA Group (dessert banana), 703 nucleotides long. RefSeq lists it as uncharacterized. Lineage: Eukaryota; Viridiplantae; Streptophyta; Magnoliopsida; Zingiberales; Musaceae. The transcript is spliced from 2 exons. The record is from RefSeq and is a predicted model, not a curated record.
CGGUAUAAGUUUCCCAUUGACACUCCCUCUCUCUCUCUCUUCCGCGCCUUCAAGGCCUGGAAGUCUGUGACGCCCUCUUCCUUCGACCACCGUCACCUCCUCGGAUUGCCCGCAACUGGAUGUGGUUCCUCUCCCCGUCGUCAAGAUCUAGUAAAAAGGGGAAGUUCAAAGGUAAAAGGGCAACAUGAUUGCAUUCGCCACCUCAUCUUUUGCUCUGAUUUGAGCGAGGAUCCCACUGGCUACAUUGCCGGACUGUUCUUGGUACGUUGACGUGCUUCUCUUCCACGAUGAAAUGAAUCGAAAAGUCCAACAAUUAAAAAUUUUGUUGGAUUAAUGUCAAUCAAUAGUCAACCACUGUUCAUUGCUGGCCGCGUGUCCUCCAUGUGCCUCUCAAUUUUUUUACAGUUUUCUCUCAAUAAUUUUUAUUAUCAUCUGGAUUUAUACGUUCAUCUCAAUCAGAUUCUAAGGGUUUUAUGUUCAUGCUUCAAAUUUAUAUUAUCACCUUUAGAAAUAGGAAUAAGAGUUUGUGUGAUAGUCAUGAAUUGGAUGGAUUGCCUUGAACUUACCUAGAGAGUUUCACUUUGCCACCUUAGAAACUAUUGAAGGUAAGAGAUUAGAGAGAGAGUUUUUUUUCCCCCUCCAAAUUGAGGAUAAAGUAUUAAUCAAUUGCAAUAAGAAGAUUAGUGUCUUUAUUGCAUUUUCA